CAAUAGCGUAUAUUAAAGUUGUUGCGGUUAAAAAGCUCGUAGUUGGAGUUCUGCCAGGUGCCGCCUGUCCGCCCCAGUGGUGAGUACGUGGCGCGCAUUUGGCCCUUUCAAGGGGAGCGUAUCUGCACUUUAUUGUGUGGUGCGGGAUCCUUGACUUUUACUUUGAGGAAAUAGGAGUGUUCCAAGCAGGCUCUCGUCGUGCACAGCUCAGCAUGGAAUAAUAGCAUUGGACCUCGAUUCUAAGCUGUUGGUUGCCAGAAGCGAGGUAAUGAUGAAGAGGGAUAGUUGGGGGCAUUCGUAUUUAACUGUCAGAGGUGAAAUUCUUGGACUUGUUAAAGACGGACUACUGCGAAAGCAUCUGCCAUGGAUGUUUUCAUUGA
Molecule: ribosomal RNA, 380 nt
Filed under: uncultured eukaryote
Lineage: Eukaryota
Description: partial 18S ribosomal RNA
Rfam family: Eukaryotic small subunit ribosomal RNA
Source: RNAcentral